CAGCCGCCGCGGGAAUACGGAGGGUGCAAGCGUUAAUCGGAAUUACUGGGCGUAAAGCGCACGCAGGCGGUCUGUCAAGUCAGAUGUGAAAUCCCCGGGCUUAACCUGGGAACUGCAUUUGAAACUGGCAGGCUGGAGUCUUGUAGAGGGGGGUAGAAUUCCAGGUGUAGCGGUGAAAUGCGUAGAGAUCUGGAGGAAUACCGGUGGCGAAGGCGGCCCCCUGGACAAAGACUGACGCUCAGGUGCGAAAGCGUGGGGAGCAAACAGGAUUAGAUACUCCAGUAGUCCCUGUCUCUUAUAA
RNAcentral lists this ribosomal RNA (301 nucleotides) under uncultured bacterium. RNAcentral describes it as "partial 16S ribosomal RNA". It matches the Rfam family "Bacterial small subunit ribosomal RNA", at positions 509 to 809 of the family's 1533-position model. The record is from RNAcentral.